Molecule: ribosomal RNA, 274 nt
Filed under: uncultured bacterium
Lineage: Bacteria
Description: partial 16S ribosomal RNA
Rfam family: Bacterial small subunit ribosomal RNA
Source: RNAcentral
AUACGGAGGGGACAAGCGUUAUUCGGAACCACUGGGCGUAAAGGACGCGUAGGCGGGUUAUUAAGUCGGGUGUGAAAUCCAAUGGCUCAACCAUUGAACUGCAUUCGAAACUGAUAACCUAGAGUAUGGAAGGGGCAGGUGGAAUUAGUGGUGUAGGGGUAAAAUCCGUAGAUAUCACUAGGAAUACCGAAAGCGAAGGCGACCUGCUGGGACAUUACCGACGCUGCGGCGUGAAAGCGUGGGGAGCAAACAGGAUUAGAAACCCGAGUAGUCC